Molecule: ribosomal RNA, 721 nt
Filed under: uncultured Pseudomonadota bacterium
Lineage: Bacteria; Pseudomonadati; Pseudomonadota
Description: bacterial SSU rRNA
Rfam family: Bacterial small subunit ribosomal RNA
Source: RNAcentral
GAACGGUAACAGGAAGCAGCUUGCUGCUUUGCUGACGAGUGGCGGACGGGUGAGUAAUGUCUGGGAAACUGCCUGGUGGAGGGGGAUAACUACUGGAAACGGUAGCUAAUACCGCAUAACGUCGCAAGACCAAAGAGGGGGACCUUCGGGCCUCUUGCCAUCGGAUGUGCCCAGAUGGGAUUAGCUAGUAGGUGGGGUAACGGCUCACCUAGGCGACGAUCCCUAGCUGGUCUGAGAGGAUGACCAGCCACACUGGAACUGAGACACGGUCCAGACUCCUACGGGAGGCAGCAGUGGGGAAUAUUGCACAAUGGGCGCAAGCCUGAUGCAGCCAUGCCGCGUGUAUGAAGAAGGCCUUCGGGUUGUAAAGUACUUUCAGCGGGGAGGAAGGGAGUAAAGUUAAUACCUUUGCUCAUUGACGUUACCCGCAGAAGAAGCACCGGCUAACUCCGUGCCAGCAGCUGCGGUAAUACGGAGGGUGCAAGCGUUAAUCGGAAUUACUGGGCGUAAAGCGCACGCAGGCGGUUUGUUAAGUCAGAUGUGAAAUCCCCGGGCUCAACCUGGGAACUGCAUCUGAUACUGGCAAGCUUGAGUCUCGUAGAGGGGGGUAGAAUUCCAGGUGUAGCGGUGAAAUGCGUAGAGAUCUGGAGGAAUACCGGUGGCGAAGGCGGCCCCCUGGACGAAGACUGACGCUCAGGUGCGAAAGCGUGGGGAGCAAACA